UACGUAGGGGGCUAGCGUUGUCCGGAAUCAUUGGGCGUAAAGCGCGUGUAGGCGGUUCGGUAAGUCCGCUGUGAAAGUCGGGGGCUCAACCCUCGAAUGCCGGUGGAUACUGUCGGACUAGAGUACGGAAGAGGCGAGUGGAAUUCCUGGUGUAGCGGUGAAAUGCGCAGAUAUCAGGAGGAACACCAAUUGCGAAGGCAGCUCGCUGGGACGUUACUGACGCUGAGACGCGAAAGCGUGGGGAGCAGACAGG
Molecule: ribosomal RNA, 253 nt
Filed under: uncultured bacterium
Lineage: Bacteria
Description: partial 16S ribosomal RNA
Rfam family: Bacterial small subunit ribosomal RNA
Source: RNAcentral